GACGAACGCUGGCGGCGUGCUUAACACAUGCAAGUCGAACGGAAAGGCCCUGCUUUUGUGGGGUGCUCGAGUGGCGAACGGGUGAGUAACACGUGAGUAACCUGCCCUUGACUUUGGGAUAACUUCAGGAAACUGGGGCUAAUACCGGAUAGGAGCUCCUGCUGCAUGGUGGGGGUUGGACAGUUUCGGCGGUUGGGGAUGGACUCGCGGCUUAUCAGCUUGUUGGUGGGGUAGUGGCUUACCAAGGCUUUGACGGGUAGCCGGCCUGAGAGGGUGACCGGCCACAUUGGGACUGAGAUACGGCCCAGACUCCUACGGGAGGGAGGAGUGGAGAAUAGUGCACAAUGGGCGGAAGCCUGAUGCAGCAACGCCGCGUGCGGGAUGACGGCCUUCGGGUUGUAAACCGCUUUCGCCUGUGACGAAGCGUGAGUGACGGUAAUGGGUAAAGAAGCACCGGCUAACUACGUG
Molecule: ribosomal RNA, 468 nt
Filed under: uncultured bacterium
Lineage: Bacteria
Description: partial 16S ribosomal RNA
Rfam family: Bacterial small subunit ribosomal RNA
Source: RNAcentral